AUUACUUUUGAGCCUGUGAAAAUGGAAGCGGGGAACAAAACGGCUGUGAUUCGUUAAACGUUUAAUGCAAUAUUUUUGUUAAACCCCUUGAAUUAAAGCGGAAAGUCUACACACGUCGAUCCCAUCUCGAUCGCUUCGUUUCAAAUCCAUUGUGGUGGUGUACAGAGGCAAAAGGAUGAAAAUUGUUACUGUCCAAAUACUUACGGAUCUAGAGCCGUAGUACAGUCAGAUCCGUGUCAUUUCGUGCCGUCUGGUCAUUAGAGCGACAACGUACUCUAGGCUGCGAUUAUAUAGUAUACAUGAUAGUGCUAUUGAUAUGGAAGCAUCAUACUUUAUUGUUUAGUAUUCUCCAGUAUUUUGUCUUGCCCAUUUCAGGCCAUUGGAAAACUAAAGCCAGUAUGUUUUAUUCCAAGAACCUUCAUCGCAGAGCCAAAUCCCCAGGUGAAGCUCUGAUGUUCAACUAAUCUUGACUAUUUUUACAGGCAAUGAGUACGAUUUUAAUUUAUUGAUUUUAUUUACACGUGGCCAAAUCAGUGCAAGAGCAUGAAAGCCCGGAGUUUUUUUCACAGCUGUGAUCAUAAUCCCUCCUCUGCGGGCGUUAAAGCCGGUUCUCAGUCCCAGUCUGAUGAAACCCGAUGCAGGUUUUGUGUUAGCAGUGUUCUAGCACACAAGAAUCUUUCUAAAAGUACCUUUUCAGCUGCGUGUGUUCGCGAAACUGAAAGCCAGACAUGUGCAGUUCCAUCGUUGGUUUAGAUACAAGGGAUAAAAGUCCUGCUGAGUCAUUCCCUCAUAGUGAGGGUUUUUGGUGCCAUUAUUUCUUCCCCAGUUCCCAAAAUCUUAUCUGAUAGACCGACUUUUGCUGUAAUAAUCAAAGUUUACGUUACUAGUGAAAGUCUGAGCAUCAAUGGAACUCACUAGGGUGACACUUUAUUCGAGAAGCUGCCUCAUAAGACUGAUAUAACCAAAUCGUGAUUGUAGUAAGUAAUCGAGUGUCAUGUGAUCACUCCAGGUCACCAUACUAGCAAGCCGCAAAGUGACAGGCGGUCGUUCGUUUUCUACGUACGUGUGAUUUCUCAAUUCUAUGCAAAUUAGGCAUGACACUGUAAAGAAGCGACAAAUCCAAACGAUUGGCUCGAACGAUUCCUCGGACCGAUCCUGCGGUGCUUGAGGGCCGACGUUCCUUCAGUUCCGCUACUCGUAACUCAGUUCCUAGCGGCAAUUUGUUUGCUUGAUGAGUGAAAAUCGAAGAACGGUCUACAAAAAAAAACUUAUCUAGGUGUAUAUACGACCUCUAAAUAAAUGUGGAUAGAGAUAUUAUGGAAAAUAACAUUUGGAAGGAUGUAGCGGAGAUCAUCGGUGCCUCGUGCAAGUGAAUGCAGCUAGUACAGUUAGCUCGCGUCGCUAAUCUAAUCUGAAGCAGGAAGUCGAGCACGUAUAUUAUGUAAAACAUGCAGACGACCGAUUUUCACUGACUAGUGCAUUGUUUAAUUUGUGUUUUAACUAGUUAGCUUCAUAAACUAUAAAUAGCUACUACUGAUUUUCAAUAGAACUUUAAAAAAGAAACAUUUUUAAAAGCUGGACAGGCCACGCCCACAGGCAACAAACUAUAAGUGUGACUUGUUGGGUAAAUGUCAUGAAAGCUCACAUAAUGUUAAGGCACUUUAUAUCAGAUGUUAAUUUUUGCUAACAUAGAGUUGGUAAAAAACUGUCACAACGUUUCGCAGCACAAGUGCAGGAAAUACUCGUCGCUGAUUGGGUGACGUUUAGCUAUACGCUAAUCAUUCUCUCUAGUUCACUUAUUUUAUAACAGAACGGUCAUAAUAUAUUUCGUACGAUAUUCUACCAGGAAAAUACUCCUUUCUGAUUGGCUGUCAGUUGUGUGUGUUGUUGUUGUUAUUAUUAUUAUUAUUAUUAUUAAAACAACAACAAUUACUAUGUGCCGCAUUCUAAUCUUUGCUAAUUGUUCUUUGGCUACGACGUGUACAAGAACUGUCAUAGCAUUGUAUACCAUGAAUACAGUGUCCGUUUUAUUUUGUCACGCAACGACAGUUUAUGUUCCAUGCUAAUUCUUACUGCUUUACUUAGCGUAAGACGAAUGUCGAUGUAGUCGUUUCUGAUUGGCUGCCUGGUGACAGGAUGCAUCAUAAAGCUUUAAUCUAUCAGAAAUCCUGUAUUAAUACUAAUCGUAUGCGAAAAAAAUAGCAUGUGACGUAAGCUGUCGUGACAAUUCCCGGAGAAUGUGAACGUGACACUGGUAUGUUAUGCCACGUUUAUGAUGUUUGACACCCACUUGUAUGUUUUUGUAUGAUUUAUUUAUUUACGGAAUUGUUCAAAUGGAGUAUUUUUCUUCCAUCUUAUUCUGCCUUCUGUGGCGUUAAACGGCGCAGAACUUUCGGAACACCGGACCUAGGGUUUACGGCGAGAUCGUAACGUCGUUCAUGCGUCAUUUUACUUUUAUUUGUCCUCAGCUGUGUGAAACGUGAAAGCUCGGAGAAGCAUCAACAUCCAUCUUGAGUGGGAUUAUUUUUUUUUUCCCCGACAAUCAUUAAGGAAACGGCUGCCAAGGACUUUCAGAAGGAACCCAAUUUUGUUUGCUGCUUCGUCCCGACACCUACGACGGCAAUUCCAAAAAAGUUGGGACGCUGUGUAGAAUGUAAAUAAAAACAGAACGUGACGAUUUGCAAAUCUCAUCAACCCGCAUGUUAUUCAUAAUAGAACAUAGAAAACAUAUCAGAUGUUUAAACUGAGGAAAUGGACCGUUUUAAGGAAAAAAAAUAGGGUCAUUUUUAAUUCGAUGGCCGCAACACGUUGCAAAAAAGUUAGGACGGGGUCAAUGAAAGGCUGGAAAAGUAAGUGUUAGUAAAAAGAAAGAGCUGGAGGUUCAUUGGGAACAGGUCAGUAAGAUGAUUGGGGUUAAAAAGAGGAUCUGAAAGAGGCAGAGUCUUUCAGAAGUAAAGAUGGGCGGAGAUUCACCAAUCUGCGAAAAACUGCGUCUACAAUCUGUGGAAUAAUUUCAGAAUAAUGUUCCUUGAAGUAAAAUUGCAAAGGCGAUGAAUAUUUAAUCAUCUAUGGUACAUAAUAUGAAAAGAUUCAGAGAAUCUGGAGAAAUCUCUCUGCACAAGGGACGAGGGUGAAAAUCAAUACUGCAUGCCUCGUGAUCUUCGAGCCCUCAGGAGCCACGGCAUUAAAAACAGGCCUGAUUCUGUAAUGGAAAUCACUCCAUGGGAUCAGAAACACCUCCAGAACUCAUUGUCUGUGAACACAGUUCUCCGUGCCAUCCAUCAUACAAAGAAGAAGCAAUAUGUGAACACGAUCCAGAAAUGCAGUCUUCUCCGGGCCAAAGCUCAUUUAAAAUGGACCGAGCCAUGGUGGAAAACUGUUCUGUGGUCAGACCAAUCGAAAUUUGAAAUUCUUUUUGGAAACCAUUGACGCCGCGUCCUCUAAACUAAAGAGGAGAGGGACCAUCCGGCUUUUUAUCAGCACUCGGCUCAAAAGCCUGAUGAUAUGGGGGUGCAUUAGUGCCUACGGAAUGGGCCGUUUGCACAUCUGGAAAGGCACCAUCAAUGCCGAAAGGGGUGUGUGUGUGUGUAUACACACACACACACAUGGUUUUAGUAUGGUUUUAGAGCACCACAUUCUUCCAUCCAGAUUCCAUCCCAUCUGUACUUCUGAGAGACUCUGCCUCACUAAGAUCCUCUUUUUAUACCAACCAUGUUACUCACCUGUUCCCAAUUAACCUAAUUACUUACAAAAUGUUCCUCCAGCUGUUUCCUUUAACUAACCCUUUCUUCCCAGCGUUUCGUCAACCCCCAACGUGCUUCCGCCAACCCCCCCCCAAAAAACGGUCCAUUUUCACAGUUUGAUAUGUUUUCUGUGUCCGGUUGUGAAUAACACACGGGUAUAUGAGAUUUGCAAAUCGUUGCGUUCAGUUUUUAUUUACGUUCUACACAGCGUCCCAACGUUUUUCGUGUUGUUGUUUUUUCAGUCUAGAUUGUUGUGAACAUGGGGUGUGUGGGUGGGGGAGGGGGUGUGUGGGUGUUUGCAGUCUCCCUCAUCAUCCAUGCCGAGUUUUGUAAAAGUGAACCAACCGUAGCCCUUUUUCUCGAGACACCAACUAACUGUAGCUGGAAGAAGAAGAAGAAAAAAAAGCAGGAAAAAAAAAAGAAAACUGUUCUUUCUUUGUUGUGUUUUGUUGUUUUUUUUCUAAACAAAACUGUUAUAUACAUUUGUGCCUGAAAACUGAGAAAUGGUAUCUAUUAUUACGGAAACAUACUGUUAAACAAGCAGCUUUUAUUACACACGGGGCACUGAGGGUCAUUCUUAUAGCAAACUAUCUUUUCCUGUAUCUAUCAAUUACUAUAGUAAUGUUGAUUAUUCCAGACGGAUGUUGUUACUACAGUAUACUCUGUACAUUCACAAGCAGACGAAUAUAUAUUUAAGUGAAAAAGAAAAGAGACCAGAAGUGCUCGGCUCGUAUCUGUCAUGAACACUUGUGGGUUGUUUUUGUUUUUUAAUUAUUUUAUUUUUUUAUUAUUAUUAUUUUAUUUUUUUUAAGGUGCCCUUCAUCAUGUACAGACGUACAAAUGUAAAUAUCCAAACGUACAGUGUGUAUCCUGAGGUUCAAACAGAGGGAAAGAUGUGUAUUAUUUAUGAAGACACAAAUUAUUUUGUUAAAUAGACUGAAAAAGUUGUAUCCAGAAAAAAAAGCGUGCACGUGUGGUGAUUUAUUCCGGGUGUUGUUGUUUGGGAAGCAGAUCUCACACAUAUACACACACACACACGAAAAACUCUAAUGUCCUGAAUAUGGUGGAAAACUUUCCGACUGUUCCAAAAAAAAAAAAAAAAAAAAAACGCUGAAACUGGAGACUCCUUUCAUAAAUGUUAAUAAACAACUCCUUACAGAAAUCUACACUAUUUAUAAUCACAGAUUAUACUUUUUUUUUUCUUUGUUAAACAACAUUGUGUUUUCUAUUGUUAUUGGUAGUCUUGGAUUGUGUCGAGCGUCCGUCAUGCACGUCCCUGUGAUAGAGCUGUUACUAUGGAAACGAGUGAGAAUUGUUAAUACAGAAUAAACCCGCUGUUAUAUACAGUCAGAAUCUACAAUACAGAAAUGCGGUGGUAGGAUGAACAUUUCAUGCAUCAUUUAACGCCUUAAACUCUCAGCAUAUUGUUUGGUCAGUUAUCUUCAAGCAUGUUGUUCUGUAACCAAAAAGAUACUUCUGGAGUUUGGCGAGUUUGGUGGAGUGUUGAAAGUGAAAUCCCUUUAGAUUCCAUACAUCUCUUGGUCUUGAAUUCCCAAUAGAUUCAUUUCUUCUACAGGUCUCGAAUUUCCAAUAGUUUCCAUUCUUCUACAGAUUUUGCCAUCCCCUUAGAUACCAUACUCCUCCAGGUCUCGAAAUCCUUUUAGCUUCCAUUCUUCUCCAGGUUUUGAAAUCUCUUUACAUUCCAUUCUUCUCCAGGUCUCCAAUUCCCUCUGCAUUCCAUUCUUCUCCAGGUCUCAAAUUCCCUCUACAUUCCAUUCUUCUCCAGGUCUCAAAUUCCAUUUCCAUUCCAUUCUUCUCCAGGUCUCCAAUUCCCUCUACAUUCCAUUCUUCUCCAGGUCUCCAAUUCCCUUUAGAUUCCAUUCUUCUCCAGGUCUCCAAUUCCCUCUACAUUUCAUUCUUCUCCAGGUCUCCAAUUCCCUCUACAUUUCAUUCUUCUCCAGGGUCUCCAAUUCCCUCUACAUUUCAUUCUUCUCCAGGGUCUCCAAUUCCCUCUACAUUUCAUUCUUCUCCAGGUCUCCAAUUCCCUCUACAUUCCAUUCUUCUCCAGGUCUCCAAUUCCAUUUCCAUUCCGUUCUUCUCCGGGUCUCGAAUUCCCUUUAGAUUCCAUAGUUCUCCAGGUCUCGAAUUCCCUCUACAUUCCAUUCUUCUCCAGGUCUCCAAUUCCCUUUAGAUUCCAUUCUUCUCCAGGUCUCAAAUUCCCUCUACAUUACAUUCUUCUCCAGGUCUCCAAUUCCCUUUAGAUUCCAUAGUUCUCCAGGUCUCCAAUUCCCUCUACAUUCCAUUCUUCUCCAG
Ictalurus punctatus (channel catfish) is the source of this 6056-nucleotide long non-coding RNA. Lineage: Eukaryota; Metazoa; Chordata; Actinopteri; Siluriformes; Ictaluridae. The record is from Ensembl.